AGAGUUUGAUCAUGGCUCAGAUUGAACGCUGGCGGCGGCCUAACACAUGCAAGUCGAACCGUAACAGGAUUAGCUUGCUAAUCGCUGACGAGUGGCGGACGGGUGAGUAAUGCUUGGGAACUUGCCUUUGCGAGGGGGAUAACAGUUGGAAACGACUGCUAAUACCGCAUUACGUCUACGGACCAAACGGGGCUUAGGCUCCGGCGCAAAGAGAGCCCAAGUGAGAUUAGCUAGUUGGUUAGGUAAAGGCUUACCAAGGCAACGAUCUCUAGCUGUUCUGAGAGGAAGAUCAGCCACACUGGGAACUGAGACACCGUCCACACUCCUACGGGAGGCAGCAGUGGGGAAUAUUGCACAAUGGGGGAAACCCUGAUGCA
RNAcentral lists this ribosomal RNA (377 nucleotides) under uncultured gamma proteobacterium 400m-ATT-13. RNAcentral's name for it is "bacterial SSU rRNA". It matches the Rfam family "Bacterial small subunit ribosomal RNA", at positions 8 to 390 of the family's 1533-position model. The record is from RNAcentral. Lineage: Bacteria; Pseudomonadati; Pseudomonadota; Gammaproteobacteria.